RNAcentral lists this ribosomal RNA (449 nucleotides) under uncultured haloarchaeon. RNAcentral describes it as "bacterial SSU rRNA". It matches the Rfam family "Archaeal small subunit ribosomal RNA", at positions 378 to 826 of the family's 1478-position model. Lineage: Archaea; Methanobacteriati; Methanobacteriota; Halobacteria; Halobacteriales; Halobacteriaceae. The record is from RNAcentral.
AUCCCAAGUGCGUAGGCAUAGAGCCUACGCUUUUGUCCACCCUAGGGUGGUGGACGAAUAAGGGCUGGGCAAGACCGGUGCCAGCCGCCGCGGUAAUACCGGCAGCCCGAGUGAUGGCCGAUCUUAUUGGGCCUAAAGCGUCCGUAGCUGGCCGCACAAGUCCAUCGGGAAAUCCACCUGCUCAACAGGUGGGCGUCCGGUGGAAACUGUGUGGCUUGGGACCGGAAGGCGCGACGGGUACGUCCGGGGUAGGAGUGAAAUCCCGUAAUCCUGGACGGACCGCCGAUGGCGAAAGCACGUCGCGAAAACGGAUCCGACAGUGAGGGACGAAAGCUAGGGUCUCGAACCGGAUUAGAUACCCGGGUAGUCCUAGCCGUAAACACUGCCUGCUAGGUGUGGCACCCACUACGAGUGGGUGCUGUGCCGUAGGGAAGCCGCUAAGCAGUCCG